GACGAACGCUGGCGGCGUGCCUAAUACAUGCAAGUAGAACGCUGAAGAGAGGAGCUUGCUCUUCUUGGAUGAGUUGCGAACGGGUGAGUAACGCGUAGGUAACCUGCCUGGUAGCGGGGGAUAACUAUUGGAAACGAUAGCUAAUACCGCAUAAUAGCAGUUAUUGCAUGAUAACUGUUUAAAAGGUGCAAUUGCAUCACUACCAGAUGGACCUGCGUUGUAUUAGCUAGUUGGUGGGGUAACGGCUCACCAAGGCGACGAUACAUAGCCGACCUGAGAGGGUGAUCGGCCACACUGGGACUGAGACACGGCCCAGACUCCUACGGGAGGCAGCAGUAGGGAAUCUUCGGCAAUGGACGGAAGUCUGACCGAGCAACGCCGCGUGAGUGAAGAAGGUUUUCGGAUCGUAAAGCUCUGUUGUAAGAGAAGAACGAGUGUGAGAGUGGAA
RNAcentral lists this ribosomal RNA (448 nucleotides) under Streptococcus mitis. Its description in RNAcentral is "bacterial SSU rRNA". It matches the Rfam family "Bacterial small subunit ribosomal RNA", at positions 28 to 466 of the family's 1533-position model. Lineage: Bacteria; Bacillati; Bacillota; Bacilli; Lactobacillales; Streptococcaceae. The record is from RNAcentral.